AGCUUUGUUCAGGGAAGCAAAGUAAUUAUCUAUUGGGAUGAUUAUUGCGUACCGAAAAGGAAAAAAGAAAGAGGUGACCUGAAGCAAGUUGAUGUCUCAAUUAUAACAUCUAAUUUUUCAAAUCAUUAAAAAUACAAGGGCAGGGAGUUGUACCAUGCGAUGAAAAAGAUUUUGCUCUUCUGGCAGUUCUCAGGGGUGGUGAAAUCAUAGUCAUAGACAGCAUAUCGGCACUCAUCCUCGGGAAUAGAUCUGGUGAAAUCUUCGUAAGUUUCUUCUGGAUUCCCAAGCUUGUCUAUCAUAACUUGCUGAGCCUUCUCAUCAAUUUUGAACACAAUGAACCUAUAGUUCCUCUUUGCUUUUAACUCCAAGAACUUGAGCUUGCACUCAUCGCUAACGUGCAUCCCAGACGCUGAAUUAGCCUGCACAGUCAAACACAUGCAUAGUCAGUUAACUUAUAUGAUCACAAUACAUUACAUGAAUGGCAAUACCAGAUUGAUAAAAAUGAAAUGUAGGAAGAGACCAUUGUUCUCUGCUUGAAAUUGGGGCUUGAUGAUCUGAAAGUAGAGAAGGUAGGGGGG
Long non-coding RNA from Arabidopsis thaliana (thale cress), 578 nucleotides. RefSeq annotates it as other RNA. The record is from RefSeq. The transcript has 2 exons. Lineage: Eukaryota; Viridiplantae; Streptophyta; Magnoliopsida; Brassicales; Brassicaceae.